CCCAGACUGAGGAUGGUGAGGAAGCUGAUAUAGCUGCUCCGAAGAAAUUCCAGUUAUUUAAUCCAGAUUCAUUAAGUCCCAGGAGCUGAAAGAUUUUAUAAAGGAAGAAGUCUUAAUGCUGGUGAGAGGACAGAAUUUUUCCCAUGACUGCUUCCAGAAACUCCAGGGCUCCGGAGUGGAUUCUACCUCUCAAGAGUAACGCUCAAGCAUCAAGAUUAGAGAUUCCUAGAGAAAGCCCGAUGCUCAUCUGUCCUGGAAACACCUGUGCUCCCCAAUCACCAGAGUUGAGAGACAAGUGUGGUACAACCUUGGAGUCA
Molecule: long non-coding RNA, 317 nt
Organism: Delphinapterus leucas (beluga whale)
Lineage: Eukaryota; Metazoa; Chordata; Mammalia; Artiodactyla; Monodontidae
Source: RefSeq, a predicted model, not a curated record